Populus euphratica (Euphrates poplar) is the source of this 695-nucleotide long non-coding RNA. RefSeq lists it as uncharacterized. Lineage: Eukaryota; Viridiplantae; Streptophyta; Magnoliopsida; Malpighiales; Salicaceae. The record is from RefSeq and is a predicted model, not a curated record. The transcript has 3 exons.
UAUCUUUCAUAAUAGAAACCUCACCACUCCACAGAACGUCCUUCCCUGAUUCAUUUCUUUUCCUAUUGCGGAUUGUCUUAGUGAGCUGAUUUGUCAGUCACAGCCACCACAACAGUUGAUCCAUGGCUGCAGUCCUUUCCUUUGACACCUCUGUGACCAGCAAGAUAUUACCUGGAGGAAAGGGAGUGGUUGGUUCUCUCUUCCAAGCUCUCACGGGCACAAUGAGUUCAUAUGAACACAUCAGUACCGUAUGAGCUUGUUUUUCCUAAGAUGGAAUCAAGUCACUUCAUGUUUACCUUGCUCUGUUUGGAUGCAGGAAACAGAAAGUGAACGUACCCUGUCCUAAGAGGUUGCGCUGCCUCAUCUGCAACAAGCUGUGACCCAAUAACCGGGAGAAAUGAUGGAAGCUUUUUUAUCAGACAUCUCUAGCCUUUUCAUUAGGUAAUUGGGUAUCUACACUCUUUCUGAAAGCAGGGUUAUUAAUAUUGCUGCCUUCUAAUUGCAAAUUUUGUUGCAAUGUUUCUUUACUUUUUCUUGGCAGGUGUUUUAAUCCCUUUUCAACCUACAAAGCUGCUGUCUAUAUCUUCUUUCUUCCUUGAACGUGGUUUUUGCAAUCUUGACUGUUUGUAGAAAGAUUAAAACAGUUAUAUGUGUAUAUAACAUCAGCAUCAAGAUACAUUAUCACCAAUUUUUUU